Molecule: small RNA, 544 nt
Filed under: Cryptococcus neoformans H99
Lineage: Eukaryota; Fungi; Basidiomycota; Tremellomycetes; Tremellales; Cryptococcaceae
Description: Cryptococcus neoformans var. grubii H99 hypothetical RNA
Source: RNAcentral
CCCGUCCCACCUCCCAAAUCCACCCAUAUCUUUGGUUUUGUUGGCGCAUUAACGGGAAGCCUCACAACAGGCUGAGCUUUGAGAUGGGCAGCCAACAGCUGAAGCAUGGUCUCUCUGCCCUUGAGGAGGUGCGAGCGUGUCGUGUCAUACAAAUCGGCUUGCCCGGCGUAAAAGGCCUCGAGGUGGUCUUUCUGUUCUCCAUUGCCAUGAUGUAAAAAGGGCUUGAGGAAGCAAUUGUAUAUGAACCUGAGCGGAAUGUGCAAAGCUGGCCACAGGCCAAGGGUAAGGGCAAUAGAAGAGAAAAAGACGAGAGCAUAGCCCAAGGAAGAGCGGGAAAGAGGGAUGAAUGUGAUAGAAGAUCACCGCUCCGGCAGAAAGAAUGAGAAGCAUAUGCGGCAAGGCGAUAGGCCCAGGAUGAGCCGUGGUGAGAACGAUAGUCAUGACGCCAGUCUAGAAGAUGAGGAUGAUCUAUACGUCGGGAUAGUGCUUUAAUACAAGAAGAGACAGUUCAACGGUAGGAUCAGGGACAGACAUGCAUUUUGAC